Humulus lupulus (European hop) is the source of this 830-nucleotide long non-coding RNA. RefSeq lists it as uncharacterized. The record is from RefSeq and is a predicted model, not a curated record. The transcript is spliced from 2 exons. NCBI's taxonomy places the organism in Eukaryota, Viridiplantae, Streptophyta, Magnoliopsida, Rosales, Cannabaceae.
UUAUAAUACUAGAAUCCUAAAAUUGUAUUAGCCCCUUCUCUCUCCUCUUCUUCCCAGCCCGAUACCACCACUCUUUCUUUUCUUCUCUCGCAUCUCAGUCGGCCAGACCAAAUGAGCCAUCUCCAGCAACCACCCAAUGACACGCACCCCACCACAAGCUUCCUUGGCCCCCAAAACCCCCAACCCGUGAAGCUUGCCUCCCCACUCGUCGGCAUCCGUCGCAACUGGCCCCCCGAAGUUCUGUCGCCGAUGUGAGUUUGGAGGAUUUUUCUGGCCUCCACCGUCUUCGAAACAAGAAUUCAAGGGAAUGGUUGGGUUUGUGAGCUCAAGAUAAGCAAAACCCCUAUGGAAAUUGGACUGAAAUGUCGCUGGAGGUGCUCACCAAUGUCAAGAACGACUUUCCUCUUCUUCUUGGAUAUCUGAAUGACUUCACCUGUGCUGGCCUCUUCGCUCCUAAUAGCUUCUUCUUCUAAACCAAGGCACUUCUGAGAGAAUUGCCUCCUUUUAUGAGCUUUGAUGUGUAUAUUAUUUGGUGUAAAGUAUAUAUAGAAGCAUUGGCUUAUGCUUAGAGGGCAUAUCUAUUUGUUAUAUUCAUUGAUUUCAGAUCUAUUCCUUUUUUUUUUUAAACAAAAAUAAGAAACUUAAUUCUGGAAAAUCAUUUGGUUUGUUCAACUAUACUGGGGCUAGAAUUAUUUUCAACAAAACUGAGUGAAAUCUCUCACGGUGCCUAUUAUCAACUAUGAACCAUAAUGAAUAAGAGAACAUAAGAAACGAAAAAAAAAAUCCCAUUCUUUUUCUUCGAAGAACUUGUUUUCCAUCCGAGAAUGAAG